RNAcentral lists this microRNA (21 nucleotides) under Brachypodium distachyon (stiff brome). RNAcentral describes it as "bdi-miR5067". Lineage: Eukaryota; Viridiplantae; Streptophyta; Magnoliopsida; Poales; Poaceae. The record is from miRBase by way of RNAcentral.
UCAGCGACAACUAAUAUGGAU